This is a microRNA precursor of Gorilla gorilla gorilla (western lowland gorilla), 80 nucleotides long. The record is from Ensembl. Lineage: Eukaryota; Metazoa; Chordata; Mammalia; Primates; Hominidae.
GGUUGGUGCAAAAGUAAUUGCAGUUUUUGCCAUUACUUUUAAUGGUAAAAAACCGUAAUUACUUUUGCACCAAUCUAAUA